GGGAGGGCAAGCCGCCCAUCCUUCCCACUUCUCUGCAGCCCUGGGGGCAGGGUUCCGUCUUCCCAUCCGCCCUCCACACUGGGCUGAAGAGUGCUCCUGGGGAGCACAUUAUUUAGCACCUACUGUGUGCCAAGACUACAGCACUUACACAAGCGUGGCUUCCAGUAACCUUCACAUCAACUUUGCAAGCCCUGCUCUCAUCCCUGAUGUGAGAACCUGGUUCAUUCCCAUCAUGUGCCUCAGUUUCCAUUUUCUGCUCUGCAGAGGAGGUAAGCUGCCAUGGCAGUUAGUUCUUCUUCAAGAAAUCUUCAGUUCCUCUUAUGUGCCAGGCACUGGAGACAAAUAGAAAGCAAGAUACAUCCUGGGCCUGGCCCCUUGGCGUGCACAGUCAAGUAAAACAUAGCGCGGAGGCAGUGCCUUCUCCUUCUAACAGUUUUUGUCCAUCUGACAUCGGGGAUUUUCUGUGUGAUAUUUCACAUCCAUUAACUCCGUGACAUGGUCAUAGUCUAGGCCAGCAGACUGGGUGAGGGGUGGCAGACUGCAGGGCCCUGUGGUUUUUGUAACUCCAGGGUUGACCCGAGGACCAUUAGCACACACUGGCGUGGGUGCACCCCCAGAAUUCUCAGCCUGGAUCUUCUACAGGCCUACUCGGAGCUGGAGGCCUGCCUCUCUGGCUGCACCUGUGUGGGAACGGGGGCACUGGCAUUCACCCGCACCAGUAAAGGUUUAUGACAGGGCCAAGAUAGGAGGGUACCACGCUCACUGCUCAAAGCGGCAUUUGACUAGUGAUGGACUCCAUGGGUCCGUGUCCUCCUUUCCUCGCUUGAUCUCACAGUCAGUCUAGGCAGGUUCCAUGUCACCGUGUGACAGAAACAAGCCACUCAGGAGGGAAGUAGCAAAGCUGGGUUAAACUCAGGGCUCCCAGCUCCAGAAGGGAAGCAGGCUGCAUGGAGGGUGCUGGUCAGACAUCCCUGUGGGAAGGGGGUAAACUCGUUUGGAUCAAACUGGGUAAAGUGUGAAGCAAGGACUCAGGAAGUUGGAUAUUUUUCACCCUUUCACUGUUGCCUUCUCAAUCUCCGAUAACAAGUGCCGGAGUCCAGCUCCAGCAGAGUCCAGGUUCCUGAGGGAGAGACGGAGUUGGCGCAGUGAAGGAGGGGACGUGAGACUUGAAUCGGUGCAAUCAAGUCUGUCUUUACU
RNAcentral lists this long non-coding RNA (1197 nucleotides) under Equus caballus (horse). RNAcentral describes it as "lncRNA (ENSECAG00000049643.1)". Lineage: Eukaryota; Metazoa; Chordata; Mammalia; Perissodactyla; Equidae. The record is from RNAcentral.